GCCUUUGUGCACAUAGUAGCCUUCUGGGUGGGCGGAGCCCAGUCCCUUCCUAGGGGGGACACGGCCCUAGGCGUAGGAUCGGCCAGUCCUACGACUUAUAUUCUGCUUGCCGCCGGGCAUAGUAAGACCCCGCGAGGUGCAGUAUGGCUUUCCGCGGAUGUAGAAUUCCCGCGAGGUGCCGUUUAGUAUAUAGAUGUGAGAUGGAUUUCUGUUCUGGAUACUGGCCUGCAUUUAUAUUAUCAGUAUGGUGUCUUAUUCUGCAUAUGCAUGUGAUAGUGAAAAGUUGUUGCUGGUUCGCCUGGGGCGUAAAACCCACCUCCCGAUAGCUAUCUAGCAUUAAUAUUAUUGGUAUGGUGUCUUAUCCUGCAUAUGCAUAUGACAGUAGGGAGUUAUUGCUGGUUCGCCUGGGGUGUAAAACCCACCUCCCAAUAGCUGUCUUGUUGAUGAUUCAACCUAUUGACACAUGAUUUAUAUGAUUCAGUACUACGACCUGUUGAGCAUAUUCAUGUUAUCAUACAUACUUAUUUGAUUAUUCUAUAUAUGCUCCAGAUGAGUUGAUUGGGAUUGUGAUGAUUUACUCCUUAUUUCUUAUGUUGAGUUAUGUGUAACCUAUUCUUGACGACUGCUCAUAUGCUCUUGAGAUUUCACCUCGAGCCAUGACUAUAUCUUGUCUCAUGUGCAUAGUACUCUCUACUCCACUCACUGAGUAUUUAUAUACUCACUCCCCAGUUUGGUGUUUUUGAUUGCAGGGCAAGUAUUGUAUAGAGAGGAGCAGGAUUAGUGGUUGCCUGCUAGCUGGUGCCGCUCCAUAGUAUAGUAUAAUGUAGAUAGAGCUUUAUACCCUUUUAGUGUAUUAUAAACCUUCUGUUGUAUAUAGUAUAUAGUUACAGUCAUAGAUCCUGUUGUGGAUAUGGGUUUGACCAUGGAUGGAAUGGGAACCAGAUUUUU
Molecule: long non-coding RNA, 948 nt
Filed under: Phoenix dactylifera (date palm)
Lineage: Eukaryota; Viridiplantae; Streptophyta; Magnoliopsida; Arecales; Arecaceae
Description: long non-coding RNA (PDAC_LNC012663)
Source: RNAcentral